RNAcentral lists this ribosomal RNA (418 nucleotides) under uncultured eukaryote. RNAcentral describes it as "SSU rRNA". It matches the Rfam family "Eukaryotic small subunit ribosomal RNA", at positions 567 to 990 of the family's 1831-position model. The record is from RNAcentral.
CCAGCAGCCGCGGUAAUUCCAGCUCCAAUAGCGUAUAUUUAAGUUGUUGCAGUUAAAAAGCUCGUAGUUGGAUUUCGGAUUGGACCUGCCGGUCCGUCUUUGAGAUGUGCACUGGCAGGUCUUAUCUUCUUGUCGGGGACUAGCUCCUGGGCUUUACUGUCCGGGACUAGGAGCCGACGAAGUUACUUUGAGUAAAUUAGAGUGUUCAAAGCAAGCCUAUGCUCUGAAUAUAUUAGCAUGGAAUAACAUGAUAGGACUCUGGCUUAUCUUGUUGGUCUGUGAGACCAGAGUAAUGAUUAAGAGGGACAGUCGGGGACAUUCGUAUUUCAUUGUCAGAGGUGAAAUUCUUGGAUUUAUGAAAGACGAACUUCUGCGAAAGCAUUUGUCAAGGAUGUUUUCAUUAAUCAAGAACGAAAGU